Molecule: long non-coding RNA, 2873 nt
Organism: Gallus gallus (chicken)
Lineage: Eukaryota; Metazoa; Chordata; Aves; Galliformes; Phasianidae
Source: Ensembl
CUGCAUGCUAAACAAACCACCACACGCUCGGCCUCUUGGUGUCAGCUCAUUCAUCUCACUGUGGCUCAGCUUAACUUUCUGUUAGAAACUACUUUUCAGUAGCCACCUGAUGAGCGUAUCCAAGUCUCUCUUAUCUUCCUGAAAGCAUCUUUCGGUUUUUAGCUUCUUGCCUUAUAACUUUAGUGGGAUUGAAUUCUGCAGCACAUUGAGACUCAGAGUGGAGCUGGAAUUUCAUCUUCUUGUCUGAGAAUUAACACAAGUCCAGAGAGUGAACUGCUGACUACUGUUCACCUCCUGAAACUUCAAAAAGAAAUGUUUGUUGAGCUUCAAUCAAUUACAUAUACACAAGGUUAUUAUGGAUGGACUAACACAGAGAGCUCUACAUUCAGACUUAGGAUGGUCUUCUGAAAGACACUGAAUGCCCUUCCUCUAACAUCUUCAUGUGCAUAUAGUGGAAAUGAAUGACAUAGAUCCACCUCAUAGGAAGCUCAACACUGUACUGGACUGAGCAUACAGAGCAGAUCUCACAAUGCUUUCAGCAAGGCUGUGUCAAGGCUCCUAGGAAAACCCAGUGAUGGCUGUCUUCAGUGAAGUGAAAUAACUGCAGCACUUGUGAAGACUUGGAAACAGCUUUGGCAACCACCUCCCAGUAAGCGAAGAAGAAUACACAAUCACAACAAGUGGAGGGGAUUAGAGUAAUUAAGAUUUUUAAACAGACUUAUAGUCUUUUUUGUGCCUCAAGUGUUUUUUUGCUUGACACAAAAUAAUUUUGUCCUGAUUAUUUGAGAAGUAUCACACAUGUGAAAGUGCAAAUGAAAAAAGAAGACCAGAGGGGGAAGAAAAAGAGAGGAGUGAAUUAAUAGAAACCUAGCAUUGCUAGGUAUUUGAUAUUAUUUAUUGUAGUGGACUCCUUUAUAAUUUCAUAUAUUAUGUGAGAGAAAAAAACCUCCUUUAUAUGACUGGAAAGAAGACACAGAGUGUCACAAUACUGUGGAGCUUAUUUUUGGCUACAACUUGUCUUGAUUUUAUUUAGCCAUCUAAAAGUUACACCCUUAGCCUGAAGGUGUGAGCCAUAUCACAUACUGAGACAUUGAUCUUUGCAGGAGAUCUGUGCUAUGCUGAACUCCCAUCUUUGUAGAAUGGACUUGGAUGUCCGUCUUUUAGACAGAAACAGAUGCUGACAAAAUGAAAAAUAUAUACAUCCGAGACCCUUUGGUCUAACGUACACAUUAAUCUAUACAUCAUUUUUUUCCUACAUAAAUUAAAUCCUGGUAAUUACUCAAGCCAUCUUUCCAGUGUCUUGUGCCGUACAUUUUUAUUCCUGUGGUUUUUAGAUCAUUACUGUCCAUUAACUCCUGAAAUAUCAGAGAGAAUGUUAAAAACUAUCUAUUACUUCUCUAAAAGGAAAAGAAUGUUAUGAAAACAAACUGUGGCUUUUUAGGACUUUUUGCAAUUUCCUGAGGCUUUUUCUUGAACUGGGGAACAUCAAGUCCUUUCUCUCCAGCAAUUCGUGGGAACACUAGACUACGCGUGAGAGAUUGGUUAGUUUAAGCAUCCAUUAGAAAGGGAGAGACAGAUUAAUACAAUCAUCUGGUUUCAAAAUGUCUUUCGAAAGAGAGUUGCUGUCUCUUAAGUAUACCCUGGAUUUGAAGCAUGCAUUGUCAGCCAGUGUUGACAUAGAUAUGUUUGAAAUGCCAUCUAGAAAUGACUACAGUGAUUGUAUUAGAGGUUUGUUUACCACUGACUUGGGAGAAUGACUUUCCUCGCCUCCCUUAAAAAGAAUUCCACAUCCUAUAUGAGAAAUGAAAUAAGGCUGUUCACUUUUUGUAGCUCUUUAUAUUUCCCACUCACCCUUUCCUAUGUCCUCUGCAGUCACCAGAGGACUGUGUCAUCAAACUCAAGACAAGGGCUAGACAACCACGGGUAAUAGUGGUAAGAAUCAGUUGUCAGCCAAACAGAUGUUUUGGCUACCAAGCAGUGCCUGCUUUUUUUAGCAACAGCAACAUAAUACUGUUGUGUAUUGGGAUUGCAAUUUGCUUUACCCAGAUAUUCGUGCUGUGUUGCACUGUUACAUUGCCACCUAUUUCACAGUUUUAAAUGGUAUGUUACAUUUUCUCUUGUACAGGUAAAACUUCGCAUUGUUGUUUCCUGAAUAUCGCUGUACUGAUUUCAGGAACUUAGCUCAAGAUCAGGCUAAGUUAAAAUCUUAUGCUCUGGAACACAUAAAUCCCCUUCUCACUGUGACAUGGUUUUAAAAUGUUCUACAUGCACCGUAUAUGCUGUUAUUCUAAUAAUUAAGGAAAACUUUUAAGCAGAUGCUGCUCGGAAAAACUCCCAUGUGAUCCAGAUGGUGUGAUUUCUCUUUUUCACAGCACACUAUUGAGAAAUAUGUUUUCUUUCAUUUUUGCACUCGUAAUAGGUUCACUUUCCAGAGCUUCACUAGCUUGUUUACGUCCAGUUGUGCAAAGUCAUGCUAUAGCACAUCUACUGCUUCCUUGUUAUUCAGAGGGUCAGUUAUUCUCUUAAAAAAUGAAAUGAAAUUAAUGUGGCAUGAUUUUACUCUUGACAAAAAUGUGGACUGCUUGUUAUCUUGCUAUUGCCCAGAUGCUCUAAGACAGACUGAAUAGCAAAAGUUCAGAAAGAUCAGACACCAGUUGGGUAUUUGAAGUUGGCAAAUCCAUAAUGAUGGUCUUCUUUUUUUUUUUUUUUUUUCCUUUAAGAGGGUUAGAAAACGGAAGAAUAAAAUUGUCCUUCUUAGGCCCUUUGAGACCUCACUUGUUUUCCAUGAUCCAUGAGUUCUUAAUGAUAAACGUUUAAUGGUUCAGAUUGUUUUAGCUAUUUCCUUAAAUACUCCAGGGUAAAUUUCCUUACAG